CGGCAGGGUCUCCCUGUGUUUCUCUGCCAGUCCUGGAACUCCAGGCUGCCUUUUAACUCACAGACCCACCUGUCUGUCUCCUAAGGGAACAAGAAAAAAACCACAGCAAGGUAUAUAAGACAAAAAACAAGGUGUCAGAAAGGAUUCAUUCUCCAGCCACACUUGAAGAUAGGAACAAUUGUUCUACAGCUACAAUGAGACAGCAGUUUGAGACUUGGUGACGAGUUCUGUGCAUGGAUCAGCCCUUUCAGACUGAGUUAGAGGUGAGAGCUAGUGGCCAGCUGCUUUGCUUUUCUGAUAUUCAAUGUGAAGCUUGAAUUGAAAUGUCAGCCUCUGGGUCUUUAUUUUUCAUGUUACAGCAAAGUCCCAGGAGCUGGCAUAUCUGGAGGGCCCUCUGUGGGUUGGCCUUGGUCUAGGCAGGAGGAUUGAACCUGCAAAACACACUUGAAAAUCGGUGGGGGUCAAAACAGUCUCUGGAAACUGUUAAGUUUUCAUCAGGCCAUAUUUCUUGACACAGUGACAGAACUUCUCCCAGGAACCUGCAGGGGUGUGUAAAACAACUGAACAGGUUUACAUCUUGGUGUCAUUAAAAAAAAAAAAAAAAAAAAAAAAAAAAGCCGUGGCCUUGGGUUAAAAGGCAUGAACACUUUCAGAAGACAACCAGAGGUAAUUUAAAACUCUGAAGUUACAUCUAAAACCUAUUCAUUUUGGACUAUGAAGCCUAUGAACAAGGCAGACUUGUCUGUACUUUUAACAGGAAACUUAACUGAUGAGUUACCAGGGUGCUUGAAGCCUUGGGGGUUGGGGGAGAGCUGUUAAAUUGUCAAAUCUGUCACCAAGUAGUGGAGUACAGGGUUGGGUCACCAUGUCCAGCUUACUUAUUACUACUAUCUUUACUUAGAACUGAAUUUACUCUACUGGAAAAAGACAUAUGAGGAAUACAGUAUCCCUUGCUGCUUGAAAAUGAGUGGCACUGUAUCCAGGUUGUAGGUGUACCUUGCAAAACUAGUGGUCAUUAUCUCCAGUGCCUCUCUCUUCCCCAAUGAAAAGCUCAAUGACAAUAAAUCUCAAUUGUAGUUAAAUGCAGAAUCAGAAGUACUGACUAAAAGGCAGAAUUCUCACAGCCAGUAAGAAUACAGGGAAUUUAGGAAAAUUUAAUUGCAGGAUCUUGCCCCUACAUGGAAAGUGGGAACAAUGAUGAUUACCUAGAUGGUUGCAGUCUUUUUGUUUUAGCCAGCAGACCAUUGAAGUUUGGUUUUUAGAAAGGCAAAAUUGGGAAAACUAUAUUUAGUUUGGAAAUACACUUUAUUGAUUGAUGAUAACUGAUACAUCAUAGGUGAUUAAUAGCCAUCUAAAAGACAAGAACUAAGUUAUAUAUACAAAAGUCUGAACAGAAGAGAUGGAGUUUAUUGACCUAUCCAUAAUCACUCAAGAGUUCCAUUUGUUUAUCCAAUUGGUAUUUCGUGGAUUCUUUGUAUACAGCCUUGGUUGAGUAAAUUAGUUCCCAGCACACGAAUUGGGCAACUCAGGGUUGCUUAUGCCUCCUGCUCCAAGGGUAUCUGACACCUCUGGCCUCAGGGCACCCAUGUAUACACCACCCACAAAUAGACACUCAUAAUUUAAAAAUAAAUCUUAAAAAGACUGGUGCUUUUUCAUUAUGUACACAUGUUUAUCAUAAUUUAAAAAUAAAUCUUAAAAAGA
Cricetulus griseus (Chinese hamster) is the source of this 1701-nucleotide non-coding RNA. The record is from RefSeq and is a predicted model, not a curated record. Lineage: Eukaryota; Metazoa; Chordata; Mammalia; Rodentia; Cricetidae.